RNAcentral lists this long non-coding RNA (3162 nucleotides) under Bos indicus x Bos taurus (hybrid cattle). RNAcentral's name for it is "lncRNA (ENSBIXG00005027321.1)". Lineage: Eukaryota; Metazoa; Chordata; Mammalia; Artiodactyla; Bovidae. The record is from RNAcentral.
AUGUGUGUCUGUGUGUGUCAUUGGGUGUCUGUGUGUGUGUCUGUGUGUGUCUGUGUGUGUGUCUGUGUGUAUCUUUGUGUGUCUGUGUGUGUGUCUGUGUGUGUCUUUGUGUGUCUGUGUAUGUGUGUCUGUGUGUGUCUUUGUGUGUCUGUGUGUGUGUCUGUGUGUGUCUUUGUGUCUGUGUAUAUCUUUGUGUGUCUGUGUGUGUGUCUGUGUGUGUCUGUGUGUCUGUGUGUGUCUUUGUGUGUCUGUGUGUGUGUCUGUGUGUGUGUCUGUGUGUGUCUUUGUGUGUCUGUGUGUGUCUGUGUGUGUCUGUGUGUGUGUCUGUGUGUCUGUGUGUGUGUCUGUGUGUGUCUUUGUGUGUCUGUGUGUGUCUGUGUGUGUCUUUGUGUGUCUGUGUUUUGUCUGUGUGUGGUGUGUCUGUGUGUGUCUUUGUGUGUCUGUGUGUGUCUUUGUGUGUCUGUGUGUGUCUGUGUGUGUGUGUCUGUGUGUGUCUUUGUGUGUCUGUGUGUGUCUUUGUGUGUCUGUGUGUGUGUCUUUGUGUGUCUGUGUGUGUGUCUGUGUGUGUCUGUUGUGUGUCUGUGUGUGUGUCUUGUGUGUCUGUGUGUGUCUUUGUGUGUCUGUGUGUGUCUGUGUGUGUCUGUGUGUGUCUGUGUGUCUUUGUGUGUCGUGUGUGUGUCUGUGUGUGUCUGUGUGUGUUGUCUGUGUGUGUCUGUGUGUGUCUGUGUGUGUCUGUGUGUGUCUGUGUGUAAUUUGUUGUGUCUGUGUGGUGUGUCUGUGUGUGUCUUUGUGUGUCUGUGUGUGUCUUUGUGUGGUCCUGUGUGUGUGUCUUUGUGUGUCUGUGUGUGUGUCUGUGUGUGUCUUUGUGUGUCUGUGUGUGUGUCCUUUGUGUGUCUGUGUGUGUCUGUGUGUGUCUUUGUGUGUCUGGUGUGUCUUGGGUGUCUGUGUGGUGUGUCUUUGUGUGUCUGUGUGUGUGUCUUUGUGUGUCUGGUGUGUGUCUGGUGGUGUGUGUGUGUCUGUGUGUGUCUUUGUGUGUCUGUGUGUGUGUCUGUGUGUCUUUGUGUGUCUGUGUGUGUGUCUUUGUGUGUCUGUGUGUGUGUCUGUGUGUGGUCUGUGUGUGUCUGUGUGUGUCUGUGUGUGUCUGUGUGUCUUUGUGUGUGUCUGUGUGUAUCUUUGUGUGUGUCUGUGUGUGUCUGUGUGUCUGUGUGUGUCUGUGUGUGUCUGUGUGUGUGUCUGUGUGUGUCUGUGUGUGUGUCUGUGUGUGUCUGUGUGUGUCUGUGUGUGUGUCUGUGUGUAUUUGUGUGUCUGUGUGUGUGUGUCUGUGUGUGUCUUUGUGUGUCUGUGUGUGUCUUUGUGUGUCUGUGUGUGUGUCUUUGUGUGUCUGUGUGUGUGUCUGUGUGUGUCUUUGUGUGUCUGUGUGUGUGUCUGUGUGUGUCUUUGUGUGUCUGUGUGUGUGUCUGUGUGUGUCUUUGUGUGUCUGUGUGUGUGUCUGUGUGUGUCUUUGUGUGUCUGUGUGUGUGUCUGUGUGUGUCUUUGUGUGUCUGUGUGUGUGUCUGUGUGUGUCUGUGUGUGUCUGUGUGUGUGUGUGUGUGUGUGUGUGGUGUCUGUGUGUAUUUGUGUGUCUGUGUGUGUCUGUGUGUGUGUCUGUGUGUAUUUGUGUGUCUGUGUGUGUCUUUGUGUGUCUGUGUGUGUCUGUGUGUGUCUUUGUGUGUCUGUGUGUGUCUGUGUGUGUGUGUCUGGUGUGUGUCUUUGUGUGUCUGUGUGUGUGUCUUUGUGUGUCUUUGUGUGUCUGUGUGUGUCUUUGUGUGUCUGUGUGUGUGUCUUUGUGUGUCUGUGUGUGUGUCUGUGUGUGUGUGUCUGUGUGUGUCUUUGUGUGUCUGUGUGUGUGUCUUUGUGUGUCUGUGUGUGUGUCUGUGUGUGUCUUUGUGUGUCUGUGUGUGUGUCUUUGUGUGUCUGUGUGUGUCUGUGUGUGUGUCUUUGUGUGUCUGUAUGUGUGUCUGUGUGUGUCUUUGUGUGUCUGUGUGUGUGUGUCUGUGUGUGUCUUUGUGUGUCUGUGUGUGUGUCUUUGUGUGUCUGUGUGUGUGUCUGUGUGUUCUUUGUGUGUCUGUGUGUGUGUCUUUGUGUGUCUGUGUGUGUGUCUGUGUGUGUGUCUGUGUGUGUCUUUGUGUGUGUCUGUGUGUAUCUUUGUGUGUCUGUGUGUGUGUCUGUGUGUGUCUUUGUGUGUCUGUGUAUGUGUGUCUGUGUGUGUCUUUGUGUGUGUUGUGUGUGUGUCUUUGUGUGUGUCUGUGUAUAUCUUUGUGUUCUGUGUGUGUGUCUGUGUGUGUCUGUGUGUCUGUGUGUGUCUGUGUGUGUCUUUGUUUGUCUGUGUGUGUGUGGUGGUGUGUGUCUGUGUGUGUCUGUGUGUGUCUGUGUGUGUCUUGUGUGUCCUUUGUGUGUGUCUGUGUGUAUCUUGUGUGUGUCUGUGUGUGUGUCUGUGUGUCUGUGUGUGUCUGUGUGUGUCUGUGUGUGUGUCUGUGUGUGUGUCUGUGUGUGUCUGUGUGUGUCUGUGUGUGUCUUUGUGUGUCUGUGUUGUGUGUUCUUUGUGUGUCUGUGUGUGUCUGUGUGUGUCUUUGUGUGUCUGUGUGUGUCUGUGUGUGUCUGUGUGUGUCUGUGUGUGUGUCUGUGUGUGUCUUGUGUGUCUGUGUGUGUGUGUCUGUGUUGUGUCUUUGUGUGUCUGUGUGUGUGUCUUGUGUGUCUGUGUGUGUCUGUGUGUGUGUCUUUGUGUGUCUGUGUGUGUGUCUGUGUGUGUGUCUGUGUGUGUCUGUGUGUGUGUCUGUGUGUGUCUUUGUGUGUCUGUGUGUGUGUCUGUGUGUGUCUUUGUGUGUCUGUGUAUGUGUGUCUGUGUGUGUCUUUGUGUGUCUGUGUGUGUCUGUGUGUGUCUUUGUGUGUGUCUGUGUAUAUCUUUGUGUGUUUGUGUGUAUGUCUCUGUGUGUCUGUGUGUCUGUGUGUGUCUGUGUGUGUCUUUGUGUGUCUGUGUGUGUGUCUGUGUGUGUCUUUGUGUGUCUGUGUGUGUCUGUGUGUCUUUGUGUGUGUCUGUGUGUAUCUUUGUGUGUGUCUGUGUGUGUCUGUGUGUCUGUGUGUGUCUGUGUGUGUCUGUGUGUGUGUCUGUGUGUGUCUGUGUGA